GACGAACGCUGGCGGCGUGCCUAAUACAUGCAAGUCGAACGGUCUUUUCUAUGGAAGCUUGCUUCCGCUGAGAAGAUAGUGGCGAACGGGUGAGUAACACGUGGGUAACCUGCCCAUAAGAGGGGGAUAACAUCCGGAAACGGGUGCUAAUACCGCAUAGGUUUCUUGGUCGCAUGAUCGAGAAAGGAAAGACGGCCUUUGUGCUGUCGCUUAUGGAUGGACCCGCGGCGUAUUAGUUAGUUGGUGAGGUAAUGGCUCACCAAGACGAUGAUACGUAGCCGACCUGAGAGGGUGAUCGGCCACAUUGGGACUGAGACACGGUCCAGACUUUUACGGGAGCAGCAGUGGGAAUAUGCACAAUGGAAGAAACUCUGAUGCAGCGACGCCGCGUGAGUGAAGAAGGCCCUUACGGGU
RNAcentral lists this ribosomal RNA (414 nucleotides) under uncultured bacterium. RNAcentral's name for it is "bacterial SSU rRNA". It matches the Rfam family "Bacterial small subunit ribosomal RNA", at positions 28 to 423 of the family's 1533-position model. The record is from RNAcentral.